Molecule: long non-coding RNA, 1186 nt
Filed under: Heterocephalus glaber (naked mole-rat)
Lineage: Eukaryota; Metazoa; Chordata; Mammalia; Rodentia; Bathyergidae
Description: lncRNA (ENSHGLG00000044316.1)
Source: RNAcentral
ACACAAGAUAGAUGCGGCCAUUAGUUAGUGGGUCUGCUAACGAUCAGUAUGUAACAACCGGCCGUUAAUCUUUGCCCCUUUCUCCCUCACAAAAACCAAUACGUAAUCCCCUUCGACCCCCAAAGCCUAGCCAACCAAAACCCUACACUUCAUAUGUAUUAAGUAUUAACCAAUCACCUGGCUACUAAUAACCAAAGCUUGUUGUAUUCUCAAUAAAAACCCUGCUAGUUUGGGACUCAGGGCUCUCAAUCUCGAUCCGCUGUGUCGGUGACAAUUGAGAGUCCCUGCUUAAGCUUGAAUAAACGACCCUUGUGUGCUUACAUCGGAAACGGCCUCCUGGUGGUCUUUGGGACCUCACAAUCUGGGCACAACAUUUGGGGGCUCGUCCGGGAUCCCAAGACCUUCAGGACUCCCGUACCGGAGGGUCAACGCCGGCUGCCUCCAAAGUGUGCACGAGGACGUCUGGCCUAAAUUAGAAGCCUUAUACCAAACUGGACCGCCUCCCGAGCCCCAUCGCUAUCGACCAGGAGACUGGGUCUUCGUCCGGAGACACCGACAAAAGGACCUUGAGCCCCGUUGGAAAGGACCCUACGUCACAGUCCUGACCACGCCCACUGCUCUCAAGGUCGACGGGGUUGCCUCGUGGGUGCACUACACCCACGUUCGCCCUGCAGAUCCUCACGCUGUCCUAGAGGACUUCGUUCCAUCAUGGCAGGUGUCCAAAGACCAAGACAAUCCCCUCAAACUCAAGCUGUGUCGUCGACGGUCAUGAUUGUGGUAACUGUACUUUUGACACCGAUAUUAGGAGGACAGAACCCACAUGCUCCCCUAAAUUUAACUUGGAUGAUCAUCAGUACCGCCACAGGUGACAUUAUUAACAGCUCGUCCAAAGUGAGCCCACCAUUAACCUGGUGGCCUGCUCUAGAGUUUGAUCUCUGUCGGCUAGCCACUGGCAGCUGGGAUAUCGGACACUGGAGCCUAGAGUCACGGGGAAGGCCUGAAUGUGGGGAAACAAAAAAAGGGGUGUACCCUCCCCCCCCAGUCGAUUCACGAACACCGGGUUGCAACCAUGUAAUUCGCAGGGCAAUAUUACGAGACACCCCCUUCUACGUCUGUCCAGGGGGGGCGUACUAGAAGUCAAAUUGUAACUUGUGGGGGUGCUGAACAGUUCUUUUGCAAAAAUUGG